GACGAACGCUGGCGGCGUGCUUAACACAUGCAAGUCGUACGGUAAGGCCCUUUCGGGGGUACACGAGUGGCGAACGGGUGAGUAACACGUGAGUAACCUGCCCACAACUUUGGGAUAACGCUAGGAAACUGGUGCUAAUACUGGAUAUGUGCCCCUGCUGCAUGGUGGGGGUUGGAAAGCUCCGGCGGUUGUGGAUGGACUCGCGGCCUAUCAGCUUGUUGGUGGGGUAGUGGCCUACCAAGGCGGCGACGGGUAGCCGGCCUGAGAGGGUGACCGGCCACAUUGGGACUGAGAUACGGCCCAGACUCCUACGGGAGGCAGCAGUGGGGAAUAUUGCACAAUGGGUGCAAGCCUGAUGCAGCAACGCCGCGUGCGGGAUGACGGCCUUCGGGUUGUAAACCGCUUUCAGCAGGGACGAAGCUUUUUGUGACGGUACCUGCAGAAGAAGCACCGGCUAACUACGUG
RNAcentral lists this ribosomal RNA (465 nucleotides) under uncultured bacterium. RNAcentral's name for it is "partial 16S ribosomal RNA". It matches the Rfam family "Bacterial small subunit ribosomal RNA", at positions 28 to 507 of the family's 1533-position model. The record is from RNAcentral.